CACACGCUGAAGUCCGUCUGACUAUUCCAGUCGCUACAGCUUCCAGCUUUAAUAACGAAACGUUAUGCUCACAAACCUUUAACACUCACAAAUGCUCGUACAUUUUAAAGUCGAGCUGUAAAGCUUCAAAGCUGAAUCUGAUCUCUGAUUGGUCUAUUCAGGAGAACUUCAGAAGGUUACUGAGAAAGCACAGGAGGCUAGCAGCACUCACCAGGGUACGGCUUAAGUUCAAGCUAAGGAGAGCUACAAACCAAAACGCAUCCCAUUCAGUUAGGAAGGUCCAGUCUGGACACUGCUGCACCUCUGUCCUGAGGAGGGAGAUGACUCUCUCGGCUUCUGGCUUGCCCCUGGCUAGCAGGAGAUGCCUGCAGCACUGUACGAGAGCACUCGAGUGUGGACAACACACAAAGUGCACAGAGAAGACUUUCAGCCCCCUUUGACUUGAACAACGCCCUCAAAGGAACAGAGGUCACCUUUUCUCCCAUAAGAGCCAGCUGGAUGCCAAAGAA
Molecule: non-coding RNA, 509 nt
Organism: Electrophorus electricus (electric eel)
Lineage: Eukaryota; Metazoa; Chordata; Actinopteri; Gymnotiformes; Gymnotidae
Source: RefSeq, a predicted model, not a curated record